Long non-coding RNA from Hordeum vulgare subsp. vulgare (domesticated barley), 390 nucleotides. RefSeq lists it as uncharacterized. The transcript has 2 exons. Lineage: Eukaryota; Viridiplantae; Streptophyta; Magnoliopsida; Poales; Poaceae. The record is from RefSeq and is a predicted model, not a curated record.
GAGUUGGUAAACCAGGUGGUGUUGCUGCUCACUGAUCUCUUCCUACUUCCCCAAUUUUCCUCAGACCACUUACGCACUUAAAGGGGCUGAUUUUCCUGUUUCUCAAGACAACCCAGGCAAUGGAGUGCGGGCCUCUGGUGGUGACGGUGUUCACGGGCGCAUAGGGUUGUUCUUGACAGUGAUGUGAUGUAAUAAUGUAGGCUGAUGGUAGGUAACUUGUAGCUGUUGUUGGGGCAAAUGCUGGAGAUUGUAGUGAGAUAAACCAGUGUGGCUCAUGUUCAGGUUGUAGUUGGGACAAAUGUUGUUGUAUCUUGAUUCAUGUGUUGUCUUUGUCAGUCACUCAUGGCAGCAUGAGUGUUUCACAAGCUCUGAAGAUGGUUGUGCUGAAGU